CCCGCUCAGGAAUGAAGCCCAAAAACCGACAAACCGAUUAUGGUGAUCUGAUCUAGGCUCAGCAACCACCUCAAGAUGAAGAGAAAAAAAACAGUGGACCAAAACCCAGAUGAAGAACAGUUCCCAAUGAAGGUGUUUGUGGACCAGGGCCACUGAACUGGAACAUCGUUCUAGAAACAAAACUAUUGAUUCUAAUGUGGAGCUGAAGGCCGCGCUCAGCUUGUGCAGUAAAUGAGCAGUCAGGUGUUUCGAUCAGCGUGAGAACGAUGUGAAGCUGUGGAGAUGAAACGGAGGCUGGCCUCUGGUGACUGUGUUUUGGUUGCACUGACAAAGAAAACAAAGUCUGAAGUGUGGAAAAGUUCUGACCAUGUGUAUGAUGAGAAUAAUGAGCCAGUGGUUAUAUGAAGAUGCAAAAUAUGUGACAUUCUGUUAAAGUAUGUUAGUCGUGAAUAAAUAAUGUUAAAAAAUGUACAAAUGAUUAAUUGUUGACAGAAGACAAUAGAGCUGUGUGUGUUCAAACUGUACAUAUCAGGCUCGAGCCAUGUCAGGUUAACUUUCAAGACCCGAUUACAGCUCAAUUAUAAUGUUCCUUAACAUUUGAAUCCAUCCAUUGUGCCUGUCAUGUAUUCAUUCAUUCAGGUGUUACAAACUGAAUGUAGACUGUUACCAGGUUCUGUUGGAGUUUUGUUCUGUGCUGAAAAAAGUUUAAUAAUAUUUGUAUUUUUUUACUGUAGCUAUGAAUUUAAGAAAGAUGUUGAGCAUGACUGAAUUCAAAAAAUUGUUGUCCAUGAAUUGAUUUUAUAAAAUGUUUUUACUGGAGUGUUUUUUAUUAUUAAAUAUAUUCAGC
Long non-coding RNA from Acanthopagrus latus (yellowfin seabream), 847 nucleotides. RefSeq lists it as uncharacterized. The record is from RefSeq and is a predicted model, not a curated record. The transcript has 2 exons. NCBI's taxonomy places the organism in Eukaryota, Metazoa, Chordata, Actinopteri, Spariformes, Sparidae.